AUGUAAUCUUCUCUUCAGGGAAAUGAAGAAAUGAAACUCGUCAAUAAGACAUUUUAACAGAAAAUGAUGGAUAUGUAUAGUGAUUAACUGAACACUAUCAAGUUUGUUUCAAAAAAACGUUAGAAGAUAUAACGUCAAAUGUAGCCUAUAGAAAGAGGAGGGGUGUUUAAAGGAAAGA
Long non-coding RNA from Octopus sinensis (East Asian common octopus), 178 nucleotides. RefSeq lists it as uncharacterized. The record is from RefSeq and is a predicted model, not a curated record. NCBI's taxonomy places the organism in Eukaryota, Metazoa, Mollusca, Cephalopoda, Octopoda, Octopodidae. The transcript is spliced from 3 exons.